CGCGUGGAGGGGGAUAACUACUGGAAACGGUAGCUAAUACCGCAUAACGUCGCAAGACCAAAGAGGGGGACCUUGGGCCUCUUGCCAUCGGAUGUGCCCAGAUGGGAUUAGCUAGUAGGUGGGGUAACGGCUCACCUAGGCGACGAUCCCUAGCUGGUCUGAGAGGAUGACCAGCCACACUGGAACUGAGACACGGUCCAG
Molecule: ribosomal RNA, 201 nt
Filed under: uncultured bacterium
Lineage: Bacteria
Description: partial 16S ribosomal RNA
Rfam family: Bacterial small subunit ribosomal RNA
Source: RNAcentral